Molecule: unclassified non-coding RNA, 388 nt
Filed under: soil metagenome
Description: partial contains 5.8S ribosomal RNA, internal transcribed spacer 2, and large subunit ribosomal RNA
Rfam family: 5.8S ribosomal RNA (bases 1-120)
Source: RNAcentral
GAUGAAGAACGCAGCGAAAUGCGAUAAGUAAUGUGAAUUGCAGAAUUCAGUGAAUCAUCGAAUCUUUGAACGCACCUUGCGCUCCUUGGUAUUCCGAGGAGCAUGCCUGUUUGAGUGUCAUUAAAUUCUCAACCUCACCAGUUUUGUAACGAGACAGGUGAAGGCUUGGAUGUGGGGGUUUUGCAGGCUGCCUCAGUGCUGGUCUGCUCUCCUGAAAUGCAUUAGCGAGCUCAUAUUGAGCUUCCGUCUAUUGGUGUGAUAAUUAUCUACGCCGUGGAUUGGACUCAUGCUUGCUUCUAACUGUCCGCAAGGACAAUUUACUUGACCAAUUUGACCUCAAAUCAGGUAGGACUACCCGCUGAACUUAAGCAUAUCAAUAAGCGGAGGA